This 156-nucleotide ribosomal RNA is filed under the name Triticum aestivum (bread wheat). RNAcentral's name for it is "partial small subunit ribosomal RNA". Lineage: Eukaryota; Viridiplantae; Streptophyta; Magnoliopsida; Poales; Poaceae. The record is from RNAcentral.
AUGACAUACCAGAUCAAUUUUAUUGUAGGUCCUGAAUAUAAAUCUACUAACAAAUUCUGCGAUUCUUUGCUUCCAAAAGAUGAACCUAAACUUGCAAUUCCUCUACUACUGCCCAUUGCCCAGUACAGGUCCAAGAGAACAAUAUUUGCAUUCUGA